This is a long non-coding RNA of Delphinapterus leucas (beluga whale), 2080 nucleotides long. RefSeq lists it as uncharacterized. The record is from RefSeq and is a predicted model, not a curated record. Lineage: Eukaryota; Metazoa; Chordata; Mammalia; Artiodactyla; Monodontidae.
CUUAUUUAAACAAUAAAUACUUGCAAACUGAACAAAACAAGCUUCCCACACAGAGCCGUGUAACGUGACUGCUUUACACAGUGAGUGGGGACACAGCCUGCACAGCAUCGCUCAUUACAAAGUGCAGUCCCAUGGGGCGUUCACGUGUUCCUGUCCCUGGGCCCACCUUCCCGGAAGUCAGAGGCUCCAGGGGUUCCUAGAGGCGUGAGUGUUUGGGAUGGGGACCCCGUGCUCAGAACCCCUCGGGCAGGAGUCAGUUACUCCUGAGUCAGGCCCAGCUGUAUGGAGCGAUGCUGCGGACUCUUCAUUGACACAGUUGCAGAGAAGAUUCAGGAUAUAAAUUUGAAGAAGGAUUAACCAUUCCCAGAACAAAUAGCCCUCGCCCGCUCUCCUCUUCGCACACAAACCCCACUGCGUAUCCAAGUGCAAACAGAUGGGAAGGCUGAGGCCCAGCCGGGUGGAGUGCCCCAUCCGAGCUCCCACAGCAGACCUUCCCAAGGACAAGAGGACACGGAGCCAGCAUUGGCAGCCACGAGGUGGAAACGAAACAGAGUGGAUCGCAUGUCAUCUAGAACUUGAGAGCGAGACACGUACUGCCAAAUCCCGAGCAGCGACUGGAUGUCAAACAUCUCAUUCAAGGAACAUCGAUUGGGCAUCUGCUGGAUGCACAGCCUCUUUCUUGGAGCUUCCAGGCUGGCUGGUCCCAAGCAUAGGCUUUGGUGGAAGAUAGAUAGGCCGUUCUGGAGUCACCGUGGCAGAGCUUUCUCCGCACCGUUUCGGCCCCUCCCCCAGGCUGAUCGCCUUCCCAGAAUGGAGAUGUCACUCAGCACAGCCUGAUCUCAAGAAGCCGAACCCACCACUUAACAGAGAUGCAAAUCCCUGAGCCCAGGGACUGAGCUUGGCGGAGGUCUGGCACAUGCCAGGACACCGGCUCCUGAUCGUGGCAAAGGGAAAUGAAGUUGCUGCCCCUGAGCUAAUUAAGGAGGCAGGGAGGCCGGCGGCUGGGAGUUGGCGAGCAGAGUGGUGGCAGUUGCCAAGUGUCCAACACGCUGCCCACGUGCCAGGUCCGGGGGGCGGCGGUGGGAGGUGGGGGAACGGGAAUCCUCCUUGAGCAAAACCAGCUGUUUCGAGGUCAACUCCCCUCCCCCUGCCUGCGUCUGUCAAUUCAGCAGACGAGGUGUCUGUCCCCAUAGCUGGCACUUCCCAGGGACUUCCCGGAGGAAGGGGACCGAGGCCCCCUGCUAGAAGCUCCUGGCACAUGAGAACAGCCUCCAGAGCCGUCCUGUCCAGUAUGGAAAUCUCUGGCCACAUGUAGCUAUUUAAACUAAAAUCUGCUGCAAUGAGGUAAAACGUAAGAUUCGGUUCCCGUUUUGCUGUAGCCACAUAUCCAGCGCUGGAGAGCCGUGGGAGGCCGGUGGCCACUGCACUGGGCAGUGCAGGUACAGGACCUUUCCGUUGUCGCAGAAUAUUCUGUUGGCUAAUCUUCAGCAACGGGCCCACCUCAUGCCUGCAGCGAUCAUCCUAACAAUUGCUUUCACUGCAGCCUAAAUCCACGUACGUUACUCUUAUGGAAACUUAGGAGAAGAAGCGAACGUGCACCCUGCCCUGAGACCGCCAAUCAACUGAGGCGCAUUUAUUGAGCCCCCGCUAUGUAUACGUCAGGCGCUGUCCAGAGCCCUGGGGUUGCUGAGCUGAGGGAGGCCGUCCCCCACUCUCAGAGGGCAGGGAGCACUGAUGUGCACAGCGAUAAUGUCGCCGUCGCUUCUGUGGGACAAGGGCUGUCCUGGAGGCAAGUGUGGAAAUCUAAGGGGGCUGAGCUGUUUGGCCAAACCUGGGGUUCAGAGUCAGACCGUGAGGUGUUGCAAGGCUCUGCUCUGUUUGCUGGCACGUUACUGAGAAGAUCACCACGGAGGCUGUGUAAGGCUGUGACACAGCGUGUGCUGCAGAAAGACCCACCUUGAACUCCCCAUUUAAAGUUUUCCUCUCCCGGGGCUUCCCUGGUGGCGCAGUGGUUAAAAAUCCGCCCGCCAAUGCAGGGGACACGGGUUCGAGCCCUGGUCCGGGAAGGUCCCACAUGCCA